RNAcentral lists this unclassified non-coding RNA (305 nucleotides) under plant metagenome. RNAcentral describes it as "partial contains 5.8S ribosomal RNA, internal transcribed spacer 2, and large subunit ribosomal RNA". The stretch from base 1 to 105 matches the Rfam family "5.8S ribosomal RNA", at positions 50 to 154 of the family's 154-position model. The record is from RNAcentral.
GAAAUGCGAUAAGUAGUGUGAAUUGCAGAAUUCAGUGAAUCAUCGAAUCUUUGAACGCACAUUGCGCCCUUUGGUAUUCCUUAGGGCAUGCCUGUUCGAGCGUCAUCUAAACCUUCAAGCCCUGCUUGGUGUUAGGUGCCUGUCCCGCCUCCGCGCGCGGACUCACCUCAAAUCCAUUGGCGGCCCCCGCGUCGGCCACGAGCGCAGCAGAAACGCGAACUCGUGAGCCCGUCCGGGCGGCUCCCAGAAGCUACACCCACCCAGUUUGACCUCGGAUCAGGUAGGGAUACCCGCUGAACUUAAGC